RNAcentral lists this ribosomal RNA (711 nucleotides) under Triticum aestivum (bread wheat). RNAcentral describes it as "partial small subunit ribosomal RNA". The record is from RNAcentral. Lineage: Eukaryota; Viridiplantae; Streptophyta; Magnoliopsida; Poales; Poaceae.
AUGACAACGGAGCCCUCGCCCCGCCGCGCUAGGGUUGGCGAGCCGGCGGCGGACCCGCUGACGUCCCUCCCGCCGCCCCUGCUCGACGCCAUCCUCACCCGCCUCGACCUCCCCGACGCGGUCCGUACCUCCGCCUUCUCUCGCGCCUGGCGCCGCCGGUGGGAGGCCCUCCCCUACCUCUGCCUCUCCUUCGUCGACAACCCCGGCACGGCCCCCUUGGCUGUCGACCGCGUUCUCGCUCGCUACCCCGGCCGCAUCUCCAACUUCUCCUUCCACGUCGACGAGCACUCCUUCGGCCGCGUCGAUGACUGGCUCGUCGCCCUCUGCGACCGCGGCGUCAAGUCCAUCAACCUCCGAUGCGCCUCCCCCUUCAUCCUCCACUCCUCCCUCUUCUUAUGCGCCCAACUCACGCACCUGAAGCUGUGCCAUUGCGGCCUGCCGCCUCUCCCGGUGGGAUUCACUGGAUUCCCCAUGCUCAAGGAUCUAAAACUCAGCUUUGUCGAAUUCCUGGAGAACGGGGAGAGCCAACUGGAGGCGAUUCUUGUCGGGUCACCUUUGCUUGAAACCCUGAAUCUUCACUUUGUGGAUAUCCGUGGGAACGAUCCAUACUCAAAUGUGUGGGUGAUUCGCGGGGCCAACCUCCGGAGCCUAACGAUAAAUUCUGAUUUUGAGUAUGACUGGCAAGUUAAGGAGCUGCCAUACCUCGAUUAA